UCCGGACCUUACUGUUAGACAGGUGAGAAAGAAACGUAAAGAGAGCGGCGUAGCGAGAGACAGAGACCACGCCAACAGGAGGAACAUGAAGACGCAGCUGAAGAAAGACCACAGACAGGUGCGCACAGACAGGUGCGCACAGACAGGUGGAGAACGACAGAGAGAAGAACAGAAGAAACCAGCCGAGAGCAAACAGCCAGAAAAA
Long non-coding RNA from Fundulus heteroclitus (mummichog), 205 nucleotides. RefSeq lists it as uncharacterized. The record is from RefSeq and is a predicted model, not a curated record. Lineage: Eukaryota; Metazoa; Chordata; Actinopteri; Cyprinodontiformes; Fundulidae. The transcript is spliced from 2 exons.